Molecule: unclassified non-coding RNA, 218 nt
Filed under: Glomerales sp.
Lineage: Eukaryota; Fungi; Glomeromycota; Glomeromycetes; Glomerales; Glomeraceae
Description: partial contains 5.8S ribosomal RNA and internal transcribed spacer 2
Rfam family: 5.8S ribosomal RNA (bases 1-71)
Source: RNAcentral
GUGAAUCAUCAAAUUUUUGAACGCAAAUUGCGCUUUCUGGCAUCCCGGGGAGUAUGCCUGUUUGAGGGUCAGUAUUAACAAAAAAAUCGGUUUGGUUGCAAAUUAUGACGUUUGCGGAGUUUGGGCUAUCUUGACUUUUUAGGUUAAGGGGAUUAAAAUUGACAUUUUUUGCGCAAUUUUAGUCGUAACUAAUUUUUUUUUUUAUACGUCAUUGCUUA